GCAAGUCGAACGAGAAGUCAGGCGCUUGCGCUUGAUAGAAAGUGGCGAACGGGUGCGUAACACGUAUGCAACCUACCUUUAACAGGAGGAUAGCCCGGAGAAAUCCGGAUUAAUACUCCAUAUCGUAAUGAAGUGGCAUCACUUUAUUAUGAAAGCUCCGGCGGUUAAAGAUGGGCAUGCGUUCCAUUAGUUAGUUGGUGAGGUAACGGCUCACCAAGACCACGAUGGAUAGGGGGUCUGAGAGGAUGAUC
RNAcentral lists this ribosomal RNA (251 nucleotides) under uncultured bacterium. Its description in RNAcentral is "partial 16S ribosomal RNA". It matches the Rfam family "Bacterial small subunit ribosomal RNA", at positions 57 to 305 of the family's 1533-position model. The record is from RNAcentral.